UACGUAGGGUGCAAGCGUUGUCCGGAAUUAUUGGGCGUAAAGAGCUCGUAGGCGGUUUGUCGCGUCUGCUGUGAAAACUCGGGGCUUAACUCCGGGCCUGCAGUGGGUACGGGCAGACUAGAGUGCGGUAGGGGAGACUGGAAUCCCUGGUGUAGCGGUGAAAUGCGCAGAUAUCAGGAGGAACACCGGUGGCGAAGGCGGGUCUCUGGGCCGUAACUGACGCUGAGGAGCGAAAGCGUGGGGAGCGAACAGG
Molecule: ribosomal RNA, 253 nt
Filed under: uncultured bacterium
Lineage: Bacteria
Description: partial 16S ribosomal RNA
Rfam family: Bacterial small subunit ribosomal RNA
Source: RNAcentral